GCCAGCAUGGCAUAGUGGUUUGAGUGCUGGACUUUGACUCUGGAGACUAGGGAUCAAUUUCCAGGUUGGACA
Phrynosoma platyrhinos (Desert horned lizard) is the source of this 72-nucleotide non-coding RNA. Lineage: Eukaryota; Metazoa; Chordata; Lepidosauria; Squamata; Phrynosomatidae. The record is from the annotation of a GenBank genome assembly.